RNAcentral lists this ribosomal RNA (253 nucleotides) under uncultured prokaryote. Its description in RNAcentral is "partial 16S ribosomal RNA". It matches the Rfam family "Bacterial small subunit ribosomal RNA", at positions 525 to 777 of the family's 1533-position model. The record is from RNAcentral.
ACGAAGGGUGCAAGCGUUAAUCGGAAUUACUGGGCGUAAAGCGUGCGUAGGCGGUUCGUUAAGUCUGUCGUGAAAGCUCUGGGCUCAACCUGGGAAUGGCGAUGGAUACUGGCGAGCUAGAGUGCGGUAGAGGAUGGCGGAAUUCCCGGUGUAGCGGUGAAAUGCGUAGAGAUCGGAAGGAACAUCCGUGGCGAAGGCGGCCAUCUGGACCAGCACUGACGCUGAGGCACGAAAGCGUGGGGAGCAAACAGGA